This 274-nucleotide ribosomal RNA is filed under the name uncultured bacterium. Its description in RNAcentral is "partial 16S ribosomal RNA". It matches the Rfam family "Bacterial small subunit ribosomal RNA", at positions 523 to 796 of the family's 1533-position model. The record is from RNAcentral.
AUACGGAGGGUGCGAGCGUUGUUCGGAAUUACUGGGCGUAAAGCGGGUGUAGGCGGUGGACCAAGUCAGGUGUGAAAGCCCUCGGCUCAACCGAGGAAGUGCAUCUGAAACUGGUUCACUCGAGUACGGGAGAGGAGAGUGGAAUUCCCAGUGUAGAGGUGAAAUUCGUAGAUAUUGGGAGGAACACCGGUGGCGAAGGCGGCUCUCUGGAACGAUACUGACGCUGAGACCCGAAAGCGUGGGGAGCAAACAGGAUUAGAAACCCUAGUAGUCC